AAUUAUUAUAUAAUAAACAAAAUCAUGUAUCAGUCACAUGCAAUACAUACAUAAUAGUCAGAUAACAAAUAUGUACAUCACACCCAAUGGCGCACUCUCCCAGCAGCGGAUAGAGAGACAUACUCCACGGUAUGGAUUCCUCCCAACGGCGAAGGGAGAAAACACAUAUUACACUCCUAAUAGCAAAUGAAGUGGUAUCCCUCACCCGCUCAAGUGAGUACAUAUUUCUCCCAAUAGCAGAUGGAGGAACCGUCUAAUCGUCACGUUUAACGGCCCACUAAUCCCUGAAGGGAAUCGCCUUACCUGCCCUCGACAAGGAUACAUAAAUAACCAUGAUCAUUCAUUUAUAUUCACUCAUUCAUCCAUACAUCCAUCCAAGAAAUAGUUUGGUACAAUACUAUGAAGGAUCAUGUUUGAUGUAUGAUAUGUUAGACUAUAUCCAUUAGUGGCUGUAUACUAUGAUGAGCCCGUAGCUCCUUUCACAGGUUGCACUUCCAAUGUGGACCACUAACAUAGUCACAUAUACUAUAUGAUAAUAAUUAUAACAAUAUCAUAAACUUAAAAAAAAUAAAAAAUCAAUAAUCAUUUCCAAAUAAUACCUUCAGAUAAAACUUUUAAGUUCAUCAAAUUAUAAAGACAUAAGACAUCAAUUUCUCAAUAGUCCUCAAUCAACUAGAACCCUAAUUAGAAUAGCCCAAUUGACUUGAACCAAACUCAAUUCAAUUAGAACAUAACGGAACCAACCUCAAAUCCUUAUAGAACCGAUUUAGAAUUACCCUAGAUUGGUUUAAUUUAAAUUUGAUUGAUUUUGAUUAGGUCAAAUAGGUUUAAACUAGUCACGUUGGUCUAGAAUCGAUCAAAUAUAUCUGAUUCAGUCAAUUAACGAGCUCAAACCAAUAAAGCGAGAGGUAAUUGGACUAUGUCAUAUAAUGUUAGCCAAACCGAAUCGACCCAUUUGAGUCUUGGACGGGUCACGUGUGUCGCACGUGCCUGUCCCAAGUAAUAUGUUGGGCUGAGAUACAACGGGCUAAAUAGAGGAUGAUAGUAUGUUUAGCACCAAUUGUAUAGUUACGCCGGCCUAACUUCACAAACUAGGCUAAACCUCACUCACAAUUUAGGCUGAGUAUUGCCAUUGAACUAGAUCAUGCUUGGCUCGCGGGUUGGGUCAUGCUUAGACACAUGAGUUGAGGUUGUGUCUAACCACAUGGACUGAGUCGUACCUGCCACAUAAGCUAGACCAUGUCUGGCCACAUGGGUUGGGUCGUACCUUGCCACAUGGAUUGGGUCAUACAUGGCCACAUGGGCUAAGUCAUGUCUAGCUACAUGGGUUAGGUCAACAUUGCCAUAUGGGCUGAGUCCUACAUGGCCACAUGGGCAAGGUCCUACAUAACUAUAGGAGCUGGGUUGUACCCGACCACAUGGGCUAAAUCGUAUAUAACUAAAGGGGCUGGGCCAACCUGGUCUGGCAAAUCAACCUAACUCAAGUCAGACCCCGAUUAGACUCCUCUUAUCAAAUUAGAUUUUAAUAUUUUAAAUUAUUAAAAAAUAACUCAAAUCCAUGAAUUAAAGAAUUUAAAUUUAUGAUCUUAAAUUUAAAACUAAUUAGAUCAUAAAAAUUCACACAUAAUUCUAAAAACAUAGAUAUAUCGAAUUAGAUAAAUUAAACCUAUUAUGGUAAUCCAAAAAAUAAAAUUUUAAUAAUUAAA
RNAcentral lists this long non-coding RNA (1706 nucleotides) under Musa acuminata (dwarf banana). Its description in RNAcentral is "long non-coding RNA (MACU_LNC003280)". The record is from RNAcentral. Lineage: Eukaryota; Viridiplantae; Streptophyta; Magnoliopsida; Zingiberales; Musaceae.